GCGUGAGUGAUGAAGGCCCUAGGGUUGUAAAACUCUUUCAGCAGGGAUGAUAAUGACAGUACCUGCAGAAGAAGCUCCGGCUAACUCCGUGCCAGCAGCCGCGGUAAUACGGAGGGAGCUAGCGUUGUUCGGAAUUACUGGGCGUAAAGCGUGCGUAGGCGGCUAUUUAAGUUGGGGGUGAAAGCCCGGGGCUCAACCCCGGAACUGCCCUCAAAACUGGAUAGCUAGAAUCCUGGAGAGGUGAGCGGAAUUCCUAGUGUAGAGGUGAAAUUCGU
RNAcentral lists this ribosomal RNA (275 nucleotides) under uncultured bacterium. RNAcentral's name for it is "partial 16S ribosomal RNA". It matches the Rfam family "Bacterial small subunit ribosomal RNA", at positions 399 to 691 of the family's 1533-position model. The record is from RNAcentral.